GACGAACCGUGCGAACGUUGUUCGGAAUCACUGGGCUUAAAGGGCGCGUAGGCGGGCCGGCAAGUCAGGGGUGAAAUCCCACGGCUCAACCGUGGAAGUGCCUUUGAUACUGCCGGUCUGGAGGGAGGUAGGGGCGUGCGGAACUUCCGGUGGAGCGGUGAAAUGCGUAGAUAUCGGAAGGAGCACCGGUGGCGAAAGCGGCGCGCUGGACCUCUACUGACGCUGAGGCGCGAAAGCCAGGGGAGCAAACGGG
Molecule: ribosomal RNA, 253 nt
Filed under: uncultured bacterium
Lineage: Bacteria
Description: partial 16S ribosomal RNA
Rfam family: Bacterial small subunit ribosomal RNA
Source: RNAcentral